RNAcentral lists this ribosomal RNA (236 nucleotides) under uncultured bacterium. Its description in RNAcentral is "partial 16S ribosomal RNA". It matches the Rfam family "Bacterial small subunit ribosomal RNA", at positions 15 to 241 of the family's 1533-position model. The record is from RNAcentral.
GAUCAUGGCUCAGGAUGAACGCUAGCUACAGGCUUAACACAUGCAAGUCGGAGGGGCAGCAUCAUCAAAGCUUGCUUUGAUGGAUGGCGACCGGCGCACGGGUGAGUAACACGUAUCCAACCUGCCGACAACACUGGGAUAGCCUUUCGAAAGAAAGAUUAAUACCGAAUGGCAUAAUUAUUCCGCAUGGGAUAAUUAUUAAAGAAUUUCGGUUAGUCGAUGGGGAUGCGGUUCCA